Molecule: ribosomal RNA, 666 nt
Filed under: uncultured fungus
Lineage: Eukaryota; Fungi
Description: eukaryotic LSU rRNA
Rfam family: Eukaryotic large subunit ribosomal RNA
Source: RNAcentral
CCCGCUGAACUUAAGCAUAUCAAUAAGCGGAGGAAAAGAAACUAACCAGGAUUCCCUUAGUAACUGCGAGUGAAGAGGGAAAAGCUCAAAUUUAAAAUCUGGCGGUCAGUUUGGCCGCCCGAGUUGUAAAUUAGAGAAGCGUUAUCCGCGCUGGACCGUGCAAAAGUCUCUUGGAAAGGAGCAUCAUAGAGGGUGACAAUCCCGUCUUUGGCACGGACUACCAGGGCAUUUGUGAUGCGCUCUCAAAGAGUCGAGUUGUUUGGGAAUGCAGCUCUAAAUGGGUGGUAAAUUCCAUCUAAAGCUAAAUAUUGGCGAGAGACCGAUAGCGCACAAGUACCGUGAGGGAAAGAUGAAAAGGACUUUGAAAAGAGAGUUAAACAGUACGUGAAAUUGUUGAAAGGGAAACGCUUGAAGUCAGUCGCGUCCUUGAGAAAUCAACUUGACUUUUUUGGUUGAGUGCACUUUCUGUUUGGACGGGUCAGCAUCAAUUUUGACCGCUGGAAAAGGGCUUGGGGAAAGUGACAUCCUUUGUUGAUGUGUUAUAGACCCGGGUACAUAUACAGUGGUUGGGAUUGAGGAACGCAGCGCGUUAACUGGGGAAUAUCUCCCACAUCAGCGCUUAGGAUGCUGGCUUAAUGGCUUUAAUCGACCCGUCUUGAAACACGG